This 362-nucleotide RNase P RNA is filed under the name Candidatus Rokuibacteriota bacterium. RNAcentral describes it as "Candidatus Rokubacteria bacterium (sediment metagenome) RNase P RNA component class A". It matches the Rfam family "Bacterial RNase P class A". From Rfam's summary of the family: Ribonuclease P (RNase P) is a ubiquitous endoribonuclease, found in archaea, bacteria and eukarya as well as chloroplasts and mitochondria. Its best characterised activity is the generation of mature 5'-ends of tRNAs by cleaving the 5'-leader elements of precursor-tRNAs. The record is from RNAcentral. Lineage: Bacteria; Candidatus Rokuibacteriota.
AGAGAAGGCCAGACGGUCGCCGGCCGCCACGCGCGGCGGGAGGAAAGUCGGGGCUCCACAGGGCAGGGUGCUGGGUAACACCCAGGGGGGGCGACCCCACGGACCAGUGCCACAGAAAGCAGACCGCCGUCCGCGAGGGCGGUAAGGGUGAAACGGUGAGGUAAGAGCUCACCAGCGGCGCGGGUGACCGCGCCGGCUCGGUAAACCCCACCCGGAGCAAGGCCGAAUAGGAGCGCAACGAGGUGGCCCGCCUCGCGCUCGGGUCAGGCCGCUGGAGACGCCGGGCAACCGGCGCCCUAGAGAAAUGACCGUCGGGAGCCAGCAGGCUCCAACAGGACCCCGCUUAUCGGUCUUCUCUGGCG